RNAcentral lists this ribosomal RNA (371 nucleotides) under uncultured marine bacterium. Its description in RNAcentral is "bacterial SSU rRNA". It matches the Rfam family "Bacterial small subunit ribosomal RNA", at positions 527 to 902 of the family's 1533-position model. The record is from RNAcentral.
GUAGGGUGCAAGCGUUGUCCGGAAUUAUUGGGCGUAAAGAGCUCGUAGGCGGCUUGUCGCGUCUGCUGUGAAAUCCCGGGGCUCAACCCCGGGCCUGCAGUGUGUACGGGCAAACUGGAGUGCGGUAGGGGAGAUGGAAUUCCUGGUGUAGCGGUGGAUGCGCAGAUUCAGGAGGACACCGAUGGCGAGGCAGAUCUCUGGGCGCUACUGACGCUCAUGAGCGAAACAUGGGGAGCGAACAGGAUUAGAUACCCUGGUAGUCCAUGCCGUAAACGUUGGGAACUAGAUGUAGGGCCUGUUCCACGGGUUCUGUGUCGUAUCUAACGCAUUAAGUUCCCCGCCUGGGGAGUACGGCCGCAAGGCUAAAACUC